CUGCAUGCUGCCUUGCUUCCUGCCAUGAGGAUAACGGACUAAACCUCUGAACUUUCUAGGGAUCUGUCCCAGGAGCUGGCCCAUGCUAAGAAGUGAGUCACAAACCCAGGAUUCUGACACUAGGAAGGAGAUUCUUCCUUCACUUUCUUCUAUGGAGUCCCCUGACCCAUGGAGCGGAUGAUAUGCAUGUCUCAUUUAAGGCUUGGAUUAACAAUCACAUGUUCUCAACACUUUGGCCAGCCCUAACCUGAAGAAGAAGAAGAAGAAGAAGAAGAAGAAGAAGAAGAAGAAGGAGAA
Peromyscus maniculatus bairdii (prairie deer mouse) is the source of this 297-nucleotide non-coding RNA. Lineage: Eukaryota; Metazoa; Chordata; Mammalia; Rodentia; Cricetidae. The record is from RefSeq and is a predicted model, not a curated record.